UUCAAAUUUAAAGUGAAUUUCAACUUUAAAAAUAAAUUCAAAUAUUAAAGUUAAUACUAAAUAUAAUAUUUUAGUUAAACUCUCUACUUUCGGUGAGUUCUAAAUUUUUUGAGCUGAAGUCAAAAGAGUGAGAUUUAGUUAUAACUUACUUUAUCAGCCUACUUUCGUAAAGUAAUAUUCAUACUCAUUUUCGCAAAUCAAACUACCGAUAAGACGUCAUUUUCUAAAAUGCCACUUUUGAUGCUUCACUUUCGGCAAACCAAACAUUCCCAAAAUAAAACAUGUUAUAGUUGUAGAUGUUAUAUUUUUAAUUACAUAUAUUGAAAAGGAAUAAUAUAUAGUAGAACUUUUAAAAUUUUAAAAUAUCAUAUUUAUUCUUGGAUCGAUGACCAAAAUGCUCUUAUUGAUUUUAAAGAAUUUCUUGAAAUAUAGGAUUUUCUAAUGGGAUUUGACGUUAGAACGAUAUUAUGGAUAUUGAGUGAUAAAUUUAAAAUUUUUUAAUUAGUGAGAGACAUAUAAAUAAAAGCUUCUUUUUUUUUUAAACUAUAUUGUAUUUAUAAAAUCAUAUCCAACCCUACAGUCUCUAAAAAUAAUUCUUCUCCAAUCUGAUUUGUCCAAAUUUCACAAUUCUCUAUACUUUCUCUUUUAAGUAACUCGACUUUUUUUUGAUUUUUCUAUAUUUUAGAAUAUUCGUGUAAAAUAAAGAAAAGAUGAUAUGUAUCAUGUAUGGGAGCUGUCUUUUUGCACUGGCUGCAACCAUUGUUAGUUAAUUCGCGAAUUAUUCGCGAAUUAUUAAAAAUUCAAAUUAAACAGUCCGUUUACGAAUUUUUUCUAAAGAAAUUCGAAUUAAACGGUCUGUUUACGAAUUUUUUUCAAAGAAAAAAAAUUAUUCGUGAAUUUUUGGGCCAACCGAAUAAUUCGCGAAUAAUCUGCGAAUAAUUCCCGAAUUAUUAAAAAUCUGAAUAAAAAAUUUAUAAUUUUUAUGUUUAAAUAUAAAUUAUCUUAUAUUUUAUAUUUUAUAUUUUAUAUUUCAUACCGAAUUUAUUUUUCAAGCCGAAUUUUUUAGCAAAUUUAAAAACUAAAAAAUAAAUUUUUAUCAAAUCUGAAUUAACUAACUAUGGUUGCAAC
RNAcentral lists this long non-coding RNA (1128 nucleotides) under Ananas comosus (pineapple). RNAcentral describes it as "long non-coding RNA (ACOM_LNC016425)". The record is from RNAcentral. Lineage: Eukaryota; Viridiplantae; Streptophyta; Magnoliopsida; Poales; Bromeliaceae.